UCAUCUUCGGGGGUAGAGCACUGUUUCGGCUAGGGGGUCAUCCCGACUUACCAACCCGAUGCAAACUGCGAAUACCGAAGAAUGUUAUCACGGGAGACACACGGCGGGUGCUAACGUCCGUCGUGAAGAGGGAAACAACCCAGACCGCCAGCUAAGGUCCCAAAGUCAUGGUUAAGUGGGAAACGAUGUGGGAAGGCACAGACAGCCAGGAUGUUGGCUUAGAAGCAGCCAUCAUUUAAAGAAAGCGUAAUAGCUCACUGGUCGAGUCGGCCUGCGCGGAAGAUGUAACGGGGCUAAACCAUGCACCGAAGCUGCGGCAGCGACACUAUGUGUUGUUGGGUAGGGGAGCGUUCUGUAAGCCGUUGAAGGUGUAUCGUGAGGUAUGCUGGAGGUAUCAGAAGUGCGAAUGCUGACAUAAGUAACGAUAAUGCGGGUGAAAAACCCGCACGCCGGAAGACCAAGGGUUCCUGUCCAACGUUAAUCGGGGCAGGGUGAGUCGACCCCUAAGGCGAGGCCGAAAGGCGUAGUCGAUGGGAAACAGGUUAAUAUUCCUGUACUUGGUGUUACUGCGAAGGGGGGACGGAGAAGGCUAUGUUAGCCGGGCGACGGUUGUCCCGGUUUAAGCAUGUAGGCGGAGGUUCCAGGUAAAUCCGGUACCUUUUUAACGCUGAGGUGUGAUGACGAGGCACUACGGUGCUGAAGUAACAAAUGCCCUGCUUCCAGGAAAAGCCUCUAAGCAUCAGGUAACACGAAAUCGUACCCCAAACCGACACAGGUGGUCAGGUAGAGAAUACCAAGGCGCUUGAGAGAACUCGGGUGAAGGAACUAGGCAAAAUGGUGCCGUAACUUCGGGAGAAGGCACGCUGAUAUGUAGGUGAAGUGAUUUACUCAUGGAGCUGAAAUCAGUCGAAGAUACCAGCUGGCUGCAACUGUUUAUUAAAAACACAGCACUGUGCAAACACGAAAGUGGACGUAUACGGUGUGACGCCUGCCCGGUGCCGGAAGGUUAAUUGAUGGGGUUAUCCGUAAGGAGAAGCUCUUGAUCGAAGCCCCGGUAAACGGCGGCCGUAACUAUAACGGUCCUAAGGUAGCGAAAUUCCUUGUCGGGUAAGUUCCGACCUGCACGAAUGGCGUAAUGAUGGCCAGGCUGUCUCCACCCGAGACUCAGUGAAAUUGAACUCGCUGUGAAGAUGCAGUGUACCCGCGGCAAGACGGAAAGACCCCGUGAACCUUUACUAUAGCUUGACACUGAACACUGGUCCUUGAUGUGUAGGAUAGGUGGGAGGCUUUGAAGUGUGGACGCCAGUCUGCAUGGAGCCAUCCUUGAAAUACCACCCUUUAAUGGCUGGUGUUCUAACGUGGACCCGUAAUCCGGGUUGCGGACAGUGUCUGGUGGGUAGUUUGACUGGGGCGGUCUCCUCCUAAAGAGUAACGGAGGAGCACGAAGGUUAGCUAAUCCUGGUCGGACAUCAGGAGGUUAGUGCAAAGGCAUAAGCUAGCUUGACUGCGAGAGUGACGGCUCGAGCAGGUGCGAAAGCAGGUCUUAGUGAUCCGGUGGUUCUGAAUGGAAGGGCCAUCGCUCAACGGAUAAAAGGUACUCCGGGGAUAACAGGCUGAUACCGCCCAAGAGUUCAUAUCGACGGCGGUGUUUGGCACCUCGAUGUCGGCUCAUCACAUCCUGGGGCUGAAGUAGGUCCCAAGGGUAUGGCUGUUCGCCAUUUAAAGUGGUACGCGAGCUGGGUUUAGAACGUCGUGAGACAGUUCGGUCCCUAUCUGCCGUGGGCGCUGGAGAAUUGAGGGGGGCUGCUCCUAGUACGAGAGGACCGGAGUGGACGCAUCACUGGUGUUCGGGUUGUCAUGCCAAUGGCAUUGCCCGGUAGCUAAAUGCGGAAGAGAUAAGUGCUGAAAGCAUCUAAGCACGAAACUUGCCCCGAGAUGAGUUCUCCCUGAGACUUUAAGUCUCCUGAAGGAACGUUGAAGACGACGACGUUGAUAGGUCGGGUGUGUAAGUGUAGCGAUACAUUGAGCUAACCGAUACUAAUGAACCGUGAGGCUUAACCUU
This 2062-nucleotide ribosomal RNA is filed under the name Citrobacter freundii. RNAcentral's name for it is "partial 23S ribosomal RNA". It matches the Rfam family "Bacterial large subunit ribosomal RNA", at positions 890 to 2925 of the family's 2925-position model. The record is from RNAcentral. Lineage: Bacteria; Pseudomonadati; Pseudomonadota; Gammaproteobacteria; Enterobacterales; Enterobacteriaceae.